AAUUUUUAUUAAAUUGAUUUUUUUAAUGACAUCUAAAAUGGUAUUUUCAUUCAAAACAGUAAUUUAAUCCCUACAAACUUAAUGUCAAGUAGACACUAAGGCUACAUCGAGCAAGUCACACAAAAGUACCCUUGCUGAGAAGCUUCCAACCUGUAAACAAAAACCCAGGUAAAAACUACAUGUAAACCUCGCCCUGAGACGCGGAGGAAGAAACCCACGCUUCAAGUGGGGGGAAGAAAUUCAUUCCCCAUGACAAUAUGAUGCCCGUUUAUUAUGAAAAGCCAACUCAAAUACCAGAAUUCCACCAUCUGCCACCUAACUAUUUAUGCUUUCUAUGGUGAUAUGAGUACAGCCUUCAAAACCAGCCAGCAAUAAAUCAACGGCGCAAUUCCACUGCGGAGUAGUCAUUUUAACAAUGCAGACUACAACUAUAUUGCCAACUUUAACCAUGCAGUACAAGCAACACAUGGGCAAAGAUUGCUUAGUAGGGCACCUUUCGCUUACACAAUAGACAAUACAUCUGGCAAUGACUCGGGAGAUCCACUGCUACCAUUGAGCACAAUAACAUUCCCAUCAGAAUCAACAUCCACGAUAACUGAAUCACCCUCUUUGAUAUCUCCUGCAAGCAUUUUCUCAGCCAUGCUGUCCUCCAGGAGUCUCAUUAUGGCUCUUCUCAAUGGCCUUGCCCCAUAGCUUGGGUUAUACCCUUCUUCAACGACCCUCUCUCUAAAUCUCUCUGUCACCUGAAGUUCUAUGUCUUUGACCUUCAGUCUGUCAAACACCUCCUUCAACAUUAUAUCAGCUAUCUCCUUGACCUCAAGCUUAGUGAGCUGCCGGAAGACAAUCAUCUCAUCCAACCUAUUUAAGAAUUCUGGCCUGAAAUAUUGCUUCAAUUCCUCUGUCACCAGACUCUUGAUCCGAUUGUAACUGCUAUCCUUCUCAUCAUAAUCAAGGUCAAAUCCUAUCCUCCUUCCUCCUUUCUCAAUAACACUGCUUCCAACAUUUGAAGUCAUUAUCAGAAGAGUAUUCUUAAAGUCCACAGUUCUACCCUUGCUGUCUGUCAACCUUCCAUCUUCAAGAAUCUGAAGCAUCAUGUUGAAGACAUCAGGAUGGGCCUUCUCAAUCUCAUCAAAGAGUACUACAGUGUAAGGCCGACGCCGAACAGCCUCUGUUAACUGCCCACCCUCAGUGUAACCAACAUAACCAGGAGGUGAACCAAUGAGCUUGGAGACGGUGUGCCUUUCCAUGAACUCACUCAUAUCAAGGCGGAUCAUAGCUUCUUCAGAGCCAAAGUAGUAAGCAGCUAGUGCUUUUGCCAGUUCUGACUUCCCCACACCAGUUGGACCAGAAAAUAUGAAGCUAGCAAUUGGGCGAUUGGGGUUCUUGAGUCCAACACGGGCUCGGCGAAUAGCACGGCUAAUGGCUUUGACAGCUUCAUCCUGACCGAUGACUCUCUUGUGCAAGGUCUCUUCCAUCUUCAAGAGGCGAUCAGAUUCAUCAGUUGAUACUUUCUCAACAGGAAUGCCAGUCCAAGAAGAGACGAUGUGCUGAAUGUCUGAUUCAGUGACAAUAGGACCUACAUCCCCUGCCUCAGUCUCAGCCUUACUCAUCUCCUUGCCUUUCUCCACAAUAGCUGCAAUUUGUGCCCGUAGGUCCAUUUCACGAUCCCGUAAUUCACCAGCCUUUUCAAAGUCUUGGCUGCGGACAGCUUCAUCCUUCUCCUUUGUUAUUUGCCUGACCUCUUUCUCAAGCUCCCUAGCUUCCUCAGGAACCUGUGCAUGACGAAGGCGAACCCGAGAACCAGCUUCAUCUAUCAAGUCAAUUGCCUUAUCGGGCAGAAAACGAUCACUGAAGAAAUAAAAUUAAAUAUGAGAAAAGAAGAAAACUUCUGCAGGAUUCUGUUUAUAUCACCAAAAAAAAAAAAAGGAGAGAGAAUAUUAGUGUAUUUUAUGAAACAAAUUAUUGGUGAUGCAGAAGAUAAUAUUAGAACAGAUGGAUCAUUAAUUUUUGUAAUAUGUGAAUUUUAUUUCAAAAUGUCAAAACUGAAGAUAUGAAGUGUAACUACAAAAUGAGAUAAAAACUUAUGCAUUCCAAGAGAAAAAAUAGAGCGAUAGAGGAAAUGUUUCAUUUAAUUAAACAAUCCACCCCCCAUGUCUAUCUCUAAAAGUGAUGGCAUGGAGGACACUCCACCAUCCUGGCACAAGUAGCAUCUUCUCGGUUCAAAUAGUCAUGAAUGCACUUAGGUUCCAUAGAAAAUAGAAUGUGCCUGCUGAUGCGAAAUUCUCUGUCAUGAUCUACAACAAUGAAUGUAAGAUGUGCUACUGGGCACUAUAUAUUUUUGAAGUAUAAAUAAGGGGUAUUAGUAGUGCUACAAGCAAUCCCAUCUUAUAUCAAGAUCCUUCAAAGAGGAAUGAACAAAUAGAGGCUGCAGCAUGCAUCUGUAGACCGUUAACCAGAGAUUUAUGCAGGAAGACAGAUGCAAUUUAUUUGUAUGCAUGAAAUCUAUUGGAAUUUCUGAAAUAUAUGGUUUUAGAAUGUUGCAAAAAGCAAAAAAAAUAAAAAUAAAAGUAUAUUAGAAUAUAUCCAAUCAUAACUCCUAAGAAUACAUUUGGCCUCAAUCAGUACUGGUUCCAAUUAUAUGGAAAGUAAUGGACACAACAAAAAAGAAAGAAAAAUAAUGAGUUUAGACACAUGAUGAUUCAAAAAUGUCCCAAGCUUAUUCAAUAAGCAAAUACUUGCAAUAAAUUUCCAUAUUUUUAUAUCAAUUCUUAAUUGCUUAACCUUUCAGUUAAAGUUUUGUUUAGGAAUAUUUUCUUAUAACUUCCAGAUUUUGAUUUUCUAUACAGGAAGACUGGUGAAUCUAUUUUAGGAUCUUCAGUAUUUAGGAAGUUAUUUUAUUGAGGAACUUUUAUUAUAUUUCCUAUUUAGUAGGAUGUCAUUCCUAAUUACUUGAAGGGUUUAGCCAAUAAACAGGACUACAAGAAUAUUCUGUAAUACAGAGGUUUCAAUAUUAAUAAAAUUGGAAAUUUUCUUUCUUUUUCUCUCUACCUUCUGCUGCCGCAACAAAAUUAUUAGAGUAACCCAUCAAGGCGGUAAUUCCACCAUCCUGCAUCUACCAUUACUGAUAUAACCAGUGGUGGGAUUGGUAGCCUGCACACAGUAGGAUUCUACCUACACAAUGUUAACUAGUUGCAAGUUCAUGGUUCUGCUGUGUCCACUUCGUUUAUUUUACUAGUGUUACAACUACCAAUGUCACAUAAUAUUGUUAACAAGUGUAGCAAUGAUGUCAGUCAAGUCGAUUACUCAAAUUAGGUAAUGCUCAUACUGGGUGUUGCACUUUUCACUAAAAAAUGGGUAUACUAUUUCCUCCUUUUAUACUGUAAAUUUACUACUCAGCUCUCAAUAAUUUGAAAAGCAUGAAAUGGCAAACCUACAUUAUCGGAUUUUAUUUUUAGUGGGAAACAUAGAUAACUAGAUAUCAGUUAACAGUUAGAAAAAGCAAUAUUGAUGAGGAAUCGAAAGAGAAAUUAGAUGUCUAAUUAUAGCAACAAGCAGCAAUAGAAGAGGAAAGGGAUA
This 3576-nucleotide unclassified non-coding RNA is filed under the name Hevea brasiliensis (rubber tree). The record is from RNAcentral. Lineage: Eukaryota; Viridiplantae; Streptophyta; Magnoliopsida; Malpighiales; Euphorbiaceae.